AUGUCAAAAUGUGUUAAACAAUGUCCUUGUAAUGAGCCCAAGAACUGGAGGAGCCAUAGUAUCUCCUUGACGCGCCUUGAAGAAGUGGAAAUUUACAAAUUCAAAGGAGGGGAUCAUGAGAUUGAUUUCGUGACAAUGAUACUAAGUUGGGCUCCAAUGCUUACAAGAAUGACCAUCAGGCUAACUCAUGAGAUUAAUCCAAGUGACAUUGGAGAUUGCGCCAAGAGUAUUUACAUAAUUUGUUUUGGUCAUCCUUUCGUUAACUCCUUCGUUUAUCUUAGCAAUGGGGAAUUGGUACCAUGCUCCCAGAUGUAA
This 315-nucleotide ribosomal RNA is filed under the name Triticum aestivum (bread wheat). RNAcentral describes it as "partial small subunit ribosomal RNA". Lineage: Eukaryota; Viridiplantae; Streptophyta; Magnoliopsida; Poales; Poaceae. The record is from RNAcentral.